Small nucleolar RNA from Hippoglossus stenolepis (Pacific halibut), 99 nucleotides. RefSeq annotates it as Z30 small nucleolar RNA. NCBI's taxonomy places the organism in Eukaryota, Metazoa, Chordata, Actinopteri, Pleuronectiformes, Pleuronectidae. The record is from RefSeq and is a predicted model, not a curated record. The transcript has a single exon.
CUGCAGUGAUGAGUCAUGAGGUGAAUGAACUGGUAUUGCUUCCCUCCGGGGAAACUCUGACCAGGAAAUGAUCUCACAUUUAAUCUUCUCUCUGAGCAG